ACGGAGGGUGCGAGCGUUGUCCGGAAUCAUUGGGCGUAAAGGGCGCGUAGGUGGCACGAUCAGCGUGCGGUGAAAGCUCGGGGCUCAACCCCGAGUCGGCCGUGCGAACUACUGAGCUUGAGCACUGUAGAGGCAGGCGGAAUUCCGGGUGUAGCGGUGGAAUGCGUAGAGAUCCGGAAGAACACCGGUGGCGAAGGCGGCCUGCUGGGCAGUUGCUGACACUGAGGCGCGACAGCGUGGGGAGCAAACAGGAUUAGAUACCCUGGUAGUCCACGCCGUAAACGAUGGGCACUAGGCGCUUGGGGGAGCGACCCCCCGAGGGCCGGCGCUAACGCAUUAAGUGCCCCGCCUGGGGAGUACGGCCGCAAGGCUG
This 373-nucleotide ribosomal RNA is filed under the name uncultured bacterium. RNAcentral describes it as "bacterial SSU rRNA". It matches the Rfam family "Bacterial small subunit ribosomal RNA", at positions 525 to 896 of the family's 1533-position model. The record is from RNAcentral.